UGGUUUUAUCUGAAGUCAAACUUUCUUAAGUUUGACUAAAUUUAUAUAAAAAACUAUCAAUUUUUAUAAUACCAAAUAAACAUACUAUAAAAAUAUAUUUCAUCAUAAAUCUAAUGAUACUUAUUUGGUUUCAUAAAAAAUAGUAAUUUUUUAUAUAAAUUUGGUCAAACUUAAGAAAGUUUGACUUCAGAUAAAACCAA
This 200-nucleotide microRNA precursor is filed under the name Dichanthelium oligosanthes. RNAcentral's name for it is "MIR1435 microRNA precursor family". It matches the Rfam family "MIR1435 microRNA precursor family". The record is from Rfam by way of RNAcentral. Lineage: Eukaryota; Viridiplantae; Streptophyta; Magnoliopsida; Poales; Poaceae.